GACGAACGCUGGCGGCGUGCUUAACACAUGCAAGUCGAGCGGUAAGGCCCUUUCGGGGGUACACGAGCGGCGAACGGGUGAGUAACACGUGGGUGGCCUGCCCUCAGCUCUGGGAUAAGCCUGGGAAACCGGGUCUAAUACUGGAUAUGACUCCAUGACGCAUGUUGUGGGGUGGAAAGCCUUGUGCGGCUGAGGAUGGGCCCGCGGCCUAUCAGCUUGUUGGUGGGGUGANGGCCUACCAAGGCGACGACGGGUAGCCGGCCUGAGGGGGCGACCGGCCACACUGGGACUGAGACACGGCCCAGACUCCUACGGGAGGCAGCAGUGGGGAAUCUUGCGCAAUGGGCGAAAGCCUGACGCAGCGACGCCGCGUGAGGGAUGACGG
This 385-nucleotide ribosomal RNA is filed under the name uncultured bacterium. RNAcentral describes it as "bacterial SSU rRNA". It matches the Rfam family "Bacterial small subunit ribosomal RNA", at positions 28 to 414 of the family's 1533-position model. The record is from RNAcentral.